RNAcentral lists this unclassified non-coding RNA (248 nucleotides) under Glomus sp. Its description in RNAcentral is "partial contains 5.8S ribosomal RNA and internal transcribed spacer 2". The stretch from base 1 to 65 matches the Rfam family "5.8S ribosomal RNA", at positions 84 to 154 of the family's 154-position model. The record is from RNAcentral. Lineage: Eukaryota; Fungi; Glomeromycota; Glomeromycetes; Glomerales; Glomeraceae.
GUGAAUCAUCGAAUUUUUGAACGCAAAUUGCACUCUCCUCGGAGAGUGUGCCUGUUUGAGGGUCAGCCUAUAAAAAAUCGACAUCGUUGCUGUUUCGCGGUGACGUUCGUCUGAAUUUGGGUCAUCUUAAUUCUUUUUGGUUUAAGGCGACUUAAAUUUUUUUUUUUGGUUCCUUGAAGGUUUUUAAGAUUUAUUUUUUUCAGCUUUUAGGGUUAUGGAUUUUUAUUGAACGUGACAUUAAUUUCGGA